Molecule: ribosomal RNA, 460 nt
Filed under: uncultured bacterium
Lineage: Bacteria
Description: partial 16S ribosomal RNA
Rfam family: Bacterial small subunit ribosomal RNA
Source: RNAcentral
CCUACGGGGGGCAGCAGUGAGGAAUAUUGGUCAAUGGACGAGAGUCUGAACCAGCCAAGUAGCGUGAAGGAUGACUGCCCUAUGGGUUGUAAACUUCUUUUAUAUGGGAAUAAAAUGUUCCACGUGUGGGAUUUUGUAUGUACCAUAUGACUAAGGAUCGGCUAACUCCGUGCCAGCAGCCGCGGUAAUACGGAGGAUCCGAGCGUUAUCCGGAUUUAUUGGGUUUAAAGGGAGCGUAGGUGGAUUGUUAAGUCAGUUGUGAAAGUUUGCGGCUCAACCGUAAAAUUGCAGUUGAAACUGGCAGUCUUGAGUACAGUAGAGGUGGGCGGAAUUCGUGGUGUAGCGGUGAAAUGCUUAGAUAUCACGAAGAACUCCGAUUGCGAAGGCAGUUCACUGGACUGCAACUGACACUGAGGCUCGAAAGUGUGGGUAUCAAACAGGAUUAGAUACCCCUGUAGUC